This 505-nucleotide ribosomal RNA is filed under the name Meropathus sp. MEM1. RNAcentral's name for it is "partial 16S ribosomal RNA". It matches the Rfam family "Bacterial large subunit ribosomal RNA", at positions 1819 to 2600 of the family's 2925-position model. The record is from RNAcentral. Lineage: Eukaryota; Metazoa; Arthropoda; Insecta; Coleoptera; Hydraenidae.
GUCUUUUUGAUAAUAAUUUAAAGUCUAGUCUGCCCAAUGAAUUAUUUUAAUGGCCGCAGUAUUUUGACUGUGCAAAGGUAGCAUAAUAAUUAGUUUUUUAAUUGAAAGCUGGAAUGAAUGGCUGAACGAGAAAAUUACUGUCUCAAUUUAAUUUAUUUAGAAUUUUAUUUUUAAGUUAAAAAGCUUAAAUAUUUUUAAAAGACGAGAAGACCCUAUAGAGUUUUAUAUAAAUAUAAUAAUUUUAUUUAGAAAUUUUAAUAUUAAAAUUUAUAUUUUAUUGGGGUGAUAAUUAAAUUUAAAUAACUUUAUUUUUUAAAAAUCAUUACUUUAUGAAUGUAUGAUCCAUUAUUUAUGAUUAAAAGAUUAAAUUACCUUAGGGAUAACAGCGUUAUUUUUUUAGAGAGUUCUUAUCGAAAAAAAAGAUUGCGACCUCGAUGUUGGAUUAAAAUUUAUGUAUGGUGUAGAAGCUAUAUUAUUGAGUCUGUUCGACUUUUAAAAUUUUACA